RNAcentral lists this long non-coding RNA (874 nucleotides) under Selaginella moellendorffii. RNAcentral describes it as "long non-coding RNA (SMOE_LNC001801)". The record is from RNAcentral. Lineage: Eukaryota; Viridiplantae; Streptophyta; Lycopodiopsida; Selaginellales; Selaginellaceae.
UCAAUUCAGGCACGUGAACUCCAUCCUUUUCUGCUUCCUCUGCUUCUUUUGCUUUGGUUGCUCGUCUUUUGCUUUCUUCUCCUGUCCGCUGAAGAACACGUUAAGUUUAGUUUAGUUCGUUGAGAGCAAGCAAAGAAGUAAAACCCCCGCUGCUUAGUCCAGUCCCUCUACUAUCAUCACGACAAAGCAUUCUAGCACAUAGAUUGUCAUAGAUAAGUUACCUCCACUUAUAUGAGUUUGGUCGUUUUGUCAUCUUGCCCCGCCAACUUGCGCUCACAGCUUUAUCAGUACAGGUUCCUCGACAAGGCCGCGGUUCUAGAACCCAGCGACGACGAGAUUUACGACGAGAAUCCAAAGCCAUGGAGGCUGUGCACCGUAACACAGAUCGAAGAAGUCAAGAUGGUGCUUAGAUUACUCCCAAUCUGGGCCACCACCAUCACCUUUUACACAGUCUACGCUCAGAUGCUCACCUUCUCGGUCGUCCAAGGCUCCAAGAUGGACAGAAAGAUGGGCAGCUUCCUCUUCCCGUCAGCGUCCUCGGCAGCGUUCCUGUUCGCCACCAUCAUGGUCACAGUCACGGUCUACGAUCGCUUCAUCGUACCUCUGAUGCGAAAGCUCACGGGCCAUCCUCAAGGAAUCACGACGCUGCAGAGAAUCGGCGUGGGUCUGGUGGUGGCGAUCCUGGCGAUGGUGGUGGCUGCCAUGGUCGAGAGGCGACGAGUUAGAAUCGCGAGAGAGAACAAGCUACUCGACUCACCGGACGUGCCGGUUCCAAUGAGCGUGCUGUGGAUCCUCCCACAGUACGUGCUGGUUGGGAUAGGCGAGGCCUUCACUUACAUUGGCCAGUUGGAGUUCUUCUACCGCGAAUCGCCGG